RNAcentral lists this ribosomal RNA (429 nucleotides) under Gemmatimonadota bacterium. RNAcentral's name for it is "Gemmatimonadetes bacterium partial 16S ribosomal RNA". It matches the Rfam family "Bacterial small subunit ribosomal RNA", at positions 355 to 776 of the family's 1533-position model. The record is from RNAcentral. Lineage: Bacteria; Pseudomonadati; Gemmatimonadota.
UAGGGAAUCUUCGGCAAUGGACGAAAGUCUGACCGAGCAACGCCGCGUGAGUGAAGAAGGUUUUCGGAUCGUAAAACUCUGUUGUUAGAGAAGAACAAGGACGUUAGUAACUGAACGUCCCCUGACGGUAUCUAACCAGAAAGCCACGGCUAACUACGUGCCAGCAGCCGCGGUAAUACGUAGGUGGCAAGCGUUGUCCGGAUUUAUUGGGCGUAAAGCGAGCGCAGGCGGUUUCUUAAGUCUGAUGUGAAAGCCCCCGGCUCAACCGGGGAGGGUCAUUGGAAACUGGGAGACUUGAGUGCAGAAGAGGAGAGUGGAAUUCCAGGUGUAGCGGUGAAAUGCGUAGAUAUAAGGAGGAACACCGGUGGCGAAGGCGGCUCUCUGGUCUGUAACUGACGCUGAGGCUCGAAAGCGUGGGGAGCAAACAGG